This 450-nucleotide ribosomal RNA is filed under the name uncultured bacterium. RNAcentral's name for it is "bacterial SSU rRNA". It matches the Rfam family "Bacterial small subunit ribosomal RNA", at positions 355 to 796 of the family's 1533-position model. The record is from RNAcentral.
UGGGGAAUAUUGGACAAUGGGCGCAAGCCUGAUCCAGCGACGCCGCGUGAGUGAUGAAGGCCUUCGGGUUGUAAAGCUCUGUUGAGGGGGAAGAAAACGGUCGGCGCGAAUAGCUCCGAUCCUUGACGGUACCUCUUUAGAAAGCACCGGCUAACUCUGUGCCAGCAGCCGCGGUAAGACAGAGGGUGCAAACGUUGCUCGGAAUUACUGGGCGUAAAGCGCGUGUAGGCGGGCUGAUAAGUCGGACGUGAAAUCCCUGGGCUCAACCCAGGAACUGCGUUCGAAACUGCCAGUCUUGAGUAGUGGAGAGGAAAGCAGAAUUCCUGGUGUAGAGGUGAAAUUCGUAGAUAUCAGGAGGAACACCGGUGGCGAAGGCGGCUUUCUGGACACUUACUGACGCUGAGACGCGAAAGCGUGGGGAGCAAACAGGAUUAGAUACCCCCGUAGUCC